This 3129-nucleotide long non-coding RNA is filed under the name Coffea arabica (coffee). RNAcentral's name for it is "long non-coding RNA (CARA_LNC006177)". The record is from RNAcentral. Lineage: Eukaryota; Viridiplantae; Streptophyta; Magnoliopsida; Gentianales; Rubiaceae.
UUUUUUUUUUUCUGUCUUUUAACACUAGUCUGUAAAAUACAAAUAGAAGAGGAGAUUGAAGUAAGAAGAUAACCAAAUUGAACGAGCAAUACUAGGAUGGUAUUCCGUUUAUAUGUAUUAAGUUAACAUUAAGGGUCCGUUUGUUUCGGGUGAAAAUAUUUUCCAGGAAAAUAUUUUCCUAAUUUCCCGUGUUUGGUUACACAAAAGUUACUGAAAACAUUUUCCUAUGUAAAAUAUUUUCACCCAUCUUAUGGAAAACAACUUCCCUUCCAAAUUUACUGAAGUUGUUUUCCGGAAUGCAUGCAUUCCGCCUGUAGUAUGUUCCAAACUUACUGAAAACAUCUUGUAGUAUGUUCUUUUUUUUUUAGUGUAAACAGGAGAACUCGAACCCAAGACCUCUUCCUUACACUCCCUCCCCCGUACCACCCAACCCAACCCUCCCCUAGUAUAUUCAAAAUUAAAAAAAAAAAACCUCAUCCUGCUCAUCCUAUGCUAGUAAUUAAUAAUGUAUAAUAGGGACAUUCUUUUUUAGAGAAACUUUCAACAGUGAGAGUGCAAGAUAUAUGUCACAAUAUGCAUUGCAUGUGAUUGAUAUUUGACACUAAAUGGCCAGCAAUUUGUUUAUUGCUUGAGGAGAUAUUUUUUAUUCAUAUAUACAUUUCUCCAAGAUUUUUUAAAGUUAAACAAUGAGAUAAAUUUUCUUAUUUUGCAUGGAAAGAAGUAUGUAAUUAUAAUGUGUAGAAAGUAAAGAUAGAGAUAAAAGUGAAAAUAUUUCAAAAGUUAAACAAACACCAGAAAAAUGAAGUAAGAAAAUAUUUUCAAUAAACUAACCAAACACCUGAAAAUGAUGAAAGGGAAAUGAUUUUCAUGGAAAAUUACUUCCACGAAAAUUUUUUCCCAAGGAAAACAUUUUACUUCCAACCAAACAGACCCUAAAUGGAAAAGGUGCAACUCUUUACAGGUGAAACCUAACACCAAAGUUGUGGGUGGCAAGUGGCAACUACAAACUAUACAGAGAUCCUGAGGAGAAGGGUUGGUGUUAUUGGCAAUGUGGAAACCGUUUGAUCUUCCUAACCAAUACAACCAUUUGAUCAUGAAUUUCAACUUUUAGGGGACUUAUGUUUUCAGGGUGUCCAUUCACAGUGAUGUAACCAUCGAUCGCUUGGACGUGGUAAGAUGAUAGCACAAGUAAGAUUAAUGAAAGACUAGUUGCUAUAAAAUUUGGCAUGGCAACGGAAGAGGGAGGAAGUAACAGGGCGGGGCGGGGACGGAGGGAAUUUUUCUCUCCCGUUUUAAAUGGGGCGAGGGACGGUAUCCCCAUCCCGUCCCCCAUUUCAAUUUAUUAAUAUAAAUAAAUAUAUUAUAUUAUAUUAUAUUAUAAUAAUAAUAAUAAAUUUAAAAUAUUUGGCAACUAAGCAUAGCCUUUAUCUCCAAAUUCCUAAUUGAUAUUUGGCACAAAUAUGUUACGCGUCCUAUGAGUAUUCUCAAAUAUUAUUUAUACAAUUCAAUUGAAUUUCUUAAUUUCUUGACGUUUUAUUUCAACGCUUUUCUUGUUUUAUUUUUCUUUUUUCAGUUUUUUCAGUUUCAUAUUUAAUUUUAUUCUUUGAAUUUAGUUUUGAUCUUUUAAAUAAAAACUUCCACCCAAAAAAAACCAAAUUAUCUCUCGCGGACACCCGUGGGAGAAGCAGGGCGGGGAUUGCACUUGUGGCUUGUUCUGACUUGACUGCUCAAGUGGUGUGGCCUUUACCAUUCAUAUAUGUAUCAAGUAGUAAAUGAAAAACAGCAGGAAGUUUACCGAGGUACAAGUUGCAGUUCAUCAAAUGUCCUCGAGGGGCUGAAUACUUGGAGGGGAUGGAUAUCAUAUCAUCCUACCUUUGAUUGUUGGCCGCUAUGAUAAACAAAGGUAGCAGCCAGCGUCUUUCCACGGUUGUAUCUGGAUUACCAUACCAAGUCCCGACUCCUGAAGUCCUUUUUAUUUAGUUCAUGCCAUGCUUCGUUUUCUAUCACUUUCCAGUUGACCUGAUUGCGAAUGCAUGUUUUCACUUUUCAUCCCUUGUUUCGCUUUUCCUACGUCGAUCAAUCGCAAUUGGAAUAUAAAUUAACACCAAAAAUACCAAUUAUUACCUUUAGAAUUUGAUGAACGACAAGCCAAAUCUGUGGAAUAUUUACGACAAAUAAUUUGUUAACCAAUGAUGUAGUAUAGAAAAUUGGAACUAUAGGGUAACAGAGAGAAGCCGAAGAAGAGGAAGACGAGAAAUAAGGUACGUUAAGUGUUCCGAACCCCCACAAUGGUAAUUAAUGCACACGAAUAGGGUUGAAUGACAAUCUAAUUUCCCGAUACUUGAAUUGAAUUCAGUUUGAUAAGAGAUCGUUGGGCUUGUUUUGCCGAUUACUUGCCAUGCAUGAACAAGAUACAAAAUCAGAAAAAAUUUCAAAUUCAGCCUUCAGCUCAAUAAAUUUGAAAUUUUGUAUUUGGAAUUUAUGUGCCAAAUAAACAAGCAAUAGUUGCAGUUGAACUUGAAAAAAAAAAAUAAAACAAAGGACAUUUCAACCUUGAACGCAAUUUCAAGUUUGUUAUCACAAAUAAACAAAACUUAUCGGCAGCAGUGCUCAACACAACUGGGGUCGUUUAUGCCUCUACUGGUUAACAUUUAGGAGUACAGAUUGCACGCUAGUACCAUCAAGGGUGGAAGAUCUCAAGGCUCCAACAAAAAUUGGCACUACAUCUUUCCGGCUCAGAAUCCACAUCAAAAGAAGAUUUAAGCUGCAGAUACUGUUACUAGGAAGGUCUCUCAUACUGCAACUAUCACCAGGAAAUUUUAAGCUGCAGAUGCACCCAAAAGUUGAUGGUGGCAGCAGCCCAAAAAAGAAAUAGAAGUGAACGAGAAACGCAGAAAAAAGCAUCAAAUAUAAGCUUAUGUGAGCAGCUUUUGCUUAUUACCUUAGGAAAAACAAAUGUUCAGUAACAAAGCGCCUCUCACUAGGGUAGAAGAUGUACAACAGGCAAAACGAAAAAGAAGGAAAGUGUAAAACAGCACAUUAUGUUACAGUUUGAUGACACCCGGUUGGAGGAAGUUUGCUAGUCAUCCAACAUAAAGACCACAUUAUUCUUCUUAACAAAGUUAUGUG